This 417-nucleotide ribosomal RNA is filed under the name uncultured eukaryote. RNAcentral describes it as "SSU rRNA". It matches the Rfam family "Eukaryotic small subunit ribosomal RNA", at positions 592 to 1017 of the family's 1831-position model. The record is from RNAcentral.
CAAUAGCGUAUAUUAAAGUUGUUGCAGUUAAAAGCUCGUAGUUGGAUUUCGGAGUGGGCCAGUUGUUCCGCCGCAAGGUCUGUUACUGACUGGUUUGCUCUUCUUCGCAAAGACUGCGUGUGCUCUUGAGUGAGUGUGCGUAGAAUUUACGACGUUUACUUUGAAAAAUUAGAGUGUUUAAAGCAGGCUAUUGCUUGAGAACAUGAGCAUGGAAUAAUGGAAUAGGACUUUGGUUCCAUUUUGUUGGUUUCUAGGGCCGAAGUAAUGAUUAAGAGGGACAAUUGGGGGCAUCCGUAUUUCGUUGUCAGAGGUGAAAUUCUUGGAUUUACGAAAGACGAACAACUGCGAAAGCACUUGCCAAGAGUGUUUUCCUUAAGGAAGAAAGAAAGUUAGAGGAUCGAAGAUGAUUAGAUACCA